Molecule: ribosomal RNA, 253 nt
Filed under: uncultured Bdellovibrio sp.
Lineage: Bacteria; Pseudomonadati; Bdellovibrionota; Bdellovibrionia; Bdellovibrionales; Pseudobdellovibrionaceae
Description: partial 16S ribosomal RNA
Rfam family: Bacterial small subunit ribosomal RNA
Source: RNAcentral
GACGAGGGAUCCUAGCGUUGUUCGGAAUCAUUGGGCGUAAAGCGGGUCCAGGUGGCUUUGUAAGUCAGGUGUGAAAGCCCAGGGCUCAACCCUGGAAGUGCAUUUGAUACUGCGAAGCUUGAGUGCUGGAGAGGCUAUUAGAAUACCUGGUGUAGUGGUGAAAUACGUAGAUAUCAGGUGGAAUACCGGAGGCGAAGGCGGAUAGCUGGCCAGACACUGACACUCAGACCCGAAAGUAUGCGGAUCAAACAGG